AACUUUCAGCAACGGAUCACUUGGCUCUCGCAUCGAUGAAGAACGCAGCGAAAUGCGAUACGUAAUGUGAAUUGCAGAAUUCCAGUGAGUCAUCGAAUCUUUGAACGCACAUUGCGCCCUUUGGUAUUCCGAAGGGCAUGCCUGUUCGAGCGUCAUUAUCACCCCUCAAGCCCUCCUUUGGGCUUGGCUUUGGACGGUCUGGUUAGGCGACUGACCCCUCCUAAAGACAAUGACGGCCGCCUCGUCGGACCCCCGGUACACUGAGCUUCUUAACUGAGCACGUAUCGGAUUCAGGGUGCGCGGGACACGGUCUCCUUUCACCCGCUCCUUCGGGGGUGGGAGAAAAAUCUUCUCAAGGUUGACCUCGGAUCAGGUAGGGAUACCCGCUGAACUUAAGCAUAUCAAUAAGCGGAGGCU
RNAcentral lists this unclassified non-coding RNA (417 nucleotides) under uncultured Exophiala. Its description in RNAcentral is "sequence contains ITS2". The stretch from base 1 to 155 matches the Rfam family "5.8S ribosomal RNA". Lineage: Eukaryota; Fungi; Ascomycota; Eurotiomycetes; Chaetothyriales; Herpotrichiellaceae. The record is from RNAcentral.